This is a long non-coding RNA of Octopus sinensis (East Asian common octopus), 114 nucleotides long. RefSeq lists it as uncharacterized. The transcript is spliced from 3 exons. The record is from RefSeq and is a predicted model, not a curated record. Lineage: Eukaryota; Metazoa; Mollusca; Cephalopoda; Octopoda; Octopodidae.
GAAAAAUAUAUUAUACUAAUAAAAUGAUAUAAAAUCAAAUUAAUAAAUACACUCCUGCUGUAACCAAAGUAGAUGAAUGUACUAAAGCUGAAACAGGAGUAGGUGCUGCUAUGG